This 264-nucleotide unclassified non-coding RNA is filed under the name fungal sp. RNAcentral describes it as "partial internal transcribed spacer region". The stretch from base 1 to 46 matches the Rfam family "Eukaryotic small subunit ribosomal RNA", at positions 1786 to 1831 of the family's 1831-position model. Lineage: Eukaryota; Fungi. The record is from RNAcentral. RNAcentral also lists the same sequence under 1 other name.
AAGUCGUAACAAGGUAACCGUAGGUGAACCUGCGGUUGGAUCAUUAUUGAUACAACGGUCUUUGGAGUCCUCGCAAGAGUUGAUUCCAUUGGCCUUACCUACCCCAUGUGCACCGGAAUGUUUUUUGGGACCGGAUUUUUGUUAUUAGCUCUACUCGACUAGAACUAUGCAAGGUCCAGUCCCAGCAGUAUUAAACACUAUAUAAUUUGUCUGAAAUGAACCAAAGAAUCGUAACAACUUUUGACAACGGAUCUCUUGGCUCUC